This 481-nucleotide ribosomal RNA is filed under the name uncultured bacterium. RNAcentral's name for it is "partial 16S ribosomal RNA". It matches the Rfam family "Bacterial small subunit ribosomal RNA", at positions 28 to 523 of the family's 1533-position model. The record is from RNAcentral.
GACGAACGCUGGCGGCGUGCUUAACACAUGCAAGUCGAGCGGAAAGGCCACUUCGGUGGUACUCGAGCGGCGAACGGGUGAGUAACACGUGAGUAAUCUGCCCCUGGCUUUGGGAUAGCCACCGGAAACGGUGAUUAAUACCGGAUACGACCACUUCUCGCAUGGGAUGGUGGUGGAAAGUUUUUUCGGCCAGGGAUGUGCUCGCGGCCUAUCAGCUUGAUGGUGAGGUAAUGGCUCACCAUGGCUUCGACGGGUAGGCGGCCUGAGAGGGUGACCGGUCACACUGGGACUGAGACACGGCCAAGACUCCAACGGGAGGCAGCAGUGGGGAAUAUUGGACAAUGGUCGGAAGCCUGAUCCAGCAACGCCGCGUGGGGGAUGACGGCCUUCGGGUUGUAAACCUCUUUCAGCAGGGACGAAGCGCAAGUGACGGUACCUGCAGAAGAAGCACCGGCCAACUACGUGCCAGCCGCCGCGGUAA